Solanum pennellii is the source of this 1394-nucleotide long non-coding RNA. RefSeq lists it as uncharacterized. The transcript has 6 exons. The record is from RefSeq and is a predicted model, not a curated record. Lineage: Eukaryota; Viridiplantae; Streptophyta; Magnoliopsida; Solanales; Solanaceae.
UCCUUCUGUAGGAAAAAAUAUUGAUAUCUCCUGAACCAUUUCAGGGGACAGUUUAAAUUGGACUCUUGCGUUGGGCUUUGGGCAUAUUGUCCAUGGGUGCUACUGUGUAUGUGGUGACUGGUUCUCUUAGUUUGUCAAAGUUCACUUAGUUUUUUUAUCGCUACUGCUGCAAGAUGUCAUUGCUCAGCCUGAUUUUGGGGAGAUUUGGAUUUGUUAUUAUCAAGAGCUAGUUGAGGAUCUUUGGUUGCAACAUCGUCACUCCCUUAAACAAGAAACCUUGCAAUGAUGAUAUUCAGAUUUUAGAGAAUCAACAUAAUUGGAUGUGUGCAAUAAAAGCAGACUACUGGGAAUGCAAAAACAAAGUCAUUAAAAGUAGCACAUUGGUUACAUUAUUGAUUCAUCUCGUCAUAUAAGGAAAAAGAAGAAGGGACGGUCAUAUGGCAUAGGGACUCUCUGAACCAGAUUCAGAAUGCUGUGACUAUACUCAGUAGCUACAAUACUGUUGAGUUGGUACAAUAGUAUGACCUUAAAGCCAAUGUAUAACACUAUCUCAGAUGCAGAGUCUGUCAAUCUUGAGAUAUCAGGGAAGCAUGGGAUGAUACAACAUGAUCAUUAUGUGUGUGGUAUUUCCACCUGUUCGUGAAAAAUGUGUACAAGAAAGGCAACUUAUGCGUACAUGCAUAAGUUAGAGCAUCUUUUGUCACUGGUGAAGCAAAUCCCCUCCGUAUCGAGGUGGUAUACUUUUCGCCUUGCAAUGGAAGCACUAGUUGCAGAUGACUUCUACGACAUUCUGACAUGGAUGUGAAGUGCAUCAGUAUGAGAAUUACAGCUCCAGAUCAACCAUAUAAUGAUAGCAUACUUAAGGCAAGUACAACUCAUACAGUUUUCUAUGAUUUUCUUGGAUAUAUGCAUAGCAUUUAUACAUUCUCGUGGUUUGGUUUCUUGCUCAAUUGGUGGACAGGACUCAUUUUGAAAGCAAUAUUAGUCAAGUAAAGUAUUUAAUUUACCCCUUAAUUUGGGCUUGUUAUGUACAUAUAUUGGUCUUUGCAGGCACUGAGUUGUGUCUCAAACACCAAAGAAAUCAAUUUCCCUACUGGUCAUCACAGGAAAAGGAUGCCGCGGAUAAGGUUGUCAGAGAGCAUGGCAAGGAGCUGGUUGGCCGCUAAGUAAGGCCAAUUGAUCAAGUGUGUGUGAUUUCACUGAAUUGCAAAGUUCGCAGACUCUUCACUGUUAAGGUUGCAUCCGUGUCACAUUCUCCAGAAAUGCACCCGUUUACAUUUGUGAAGAGUCCAAACAACAUAGAUGAAUUGAUUUACUUUUAUUUUAUUUUUAGUGUUGGCUUGCUCUUUAACUGAGUGUGUGGAAAUUUUUUCAUCUGAGUAACUCUUAAUGAA